This 249-nucleotide non-coding RNA is filed under the name Filifactor alocis. RNAcentral's name for it is "T-box sequence". It matches the Rfam family "T-box leader". Rfam says of the family: Uncharged tRNA acts as the effector for transcription antitermination of genes in the T-box leader family. T-boxes are found upstream of many aminoacyl-tRNA synthetase genes and some amino acid biosynthetic genes usually in Gram-positive bacteria. The record is from RNAcentral. Lineage: Bacteria; Bacillati; Bacillota; Clostridia; Peptostreptococcales; Filifactoraceae.
GAAAAAGCAUAGAGAAGAAAUAGUACUUCUGUUGUCCCUCUUACAGAGAGUGUAUGGUUGGUGAAAAUACACAGAGAAGAUAGAAAGAACACAUCUUUGAGCUGAUCGGUGAAGCAUUUUGCCACUAGCCGACUCCGGAACCUCGCACCCGUUAUCGUGCAAGAGUAUGAUUGUACUCGUUGAGGAUGAUAUCGCAAGGUAUCAUUAAAAAAAGGUGGGACCACGUGAGCAGCAGCUCUCGUCCUUUUC